RNAcentral lists this ribosomal RNA (256 nucleotides) under uncultured bacterium. RNAcentral describes it as "partial 16S ribosomal RNA". It matches the Rfam family "Bacterial small subunit ribosomal RNA", at positions 524 to 776 of the family's 1533-position model. The record is from RNAcentral.
UACGGGGGGUGCGAGCGUUGUCCGGAAUCACUGGGCGUAAAGGGCGCGUAGGUGGCGUCGUAAGUCUGUGGUGAAAGCCCGGAGCUCAACUCCGGGUCUGCCGCGGAUACUGCGAGGCUUGAGUGCUGUAGAGGGGGGGUAGAAUGCCGGGUGUAGCGGUGGAAUGCGUAGAGAUCCGGCAGAAGGCCGGUGGCGAAGGCGGCCCCCCUGGGCAGUAACUGACACUGGAGGCGCGACAGCGUGGGGAGCAAACAGG